AGUCGAACGAUGAAGCCCUUCGGGGUGGAUUAGUGGCGAACGGGUGAGUAACACGUGGGCAAUCUGCCCUGCACUCUGGGACAAGCCCUGGAAACGGGGUCUAAUACCGGAUACGACCAUCUUGGGCAUCUUUGAUGGUGGAAAGCUCCGGCGGUGCAGGAUGAGCCCGCGGCCUAUCAGCUUGUUGGUGAGGUAACGGCUCACCAAGGCGACGACGGGUAGCCGGCCUGAGAGGGCGACCGGCCACACUGGGACUGAGACACGGCCCAGACUCCUACGGGAGGCAGCAGUGGGGAAUAUUGCACAAUGGGCGCAAGCCUGAUGCAGCGACGCCGCGUGAGGGAUGACGGCCUUCGGGUUGUAAACCUCUUUCAGCAGGGAAGAAGCGCAAGUGACGGUACCUGCAGAAGAAGCGCCGGCUAACUACGUGCCAGCAGCCGCGGUAAUACGUAGGGCGCAAGCGUUGUCCGGAAUUAUUGGGCGUAAAGAGCUCGUAGGCGGCUUGUCACGUCGGGUGUGAAAGCCCGGGGCUUAACCCCGGGUCUGCAUUCGAUACGGGCUAGCUAGAGUUCGGUAGGGGAGAUCGGAAUUCCUGGUGUAGCGGUGAAAUGCGCAGAUAUCAGGAGGAACACCGGUGGCGAAGGCGGAUCUCUGGGCCGAUACUGACGCUGAGGAGCGAAAGCGUGGGGAGCGAACAGGAUUAGAUACCCUGGUAGUCCACGCCGUAAACGGUGGGCACUAGGUGUGGGCGACAUUUCCACGUCGUCCGUGCCGCAGCUAACGCAUUAAGUGCCCCGCCUGGGGAGUACGGCCGCAAGGCUAAAACUCAAAGGAAUUGACGGGGGGCCCCGCACAAGCGGCGGAGCAUGUGGCUUAAUUCGACGCAACGCGAAG
RNAcentral lists this ribosomal RNA (894 nucleotides) under Streptomyces sp. Its description in RNAcentral is "bacterial SSU rRNA". It matches the Rfam family "Bacterial small subunit ribosomal RNA", at positions 60 to 966 of the family's 1533-position model. Lineage: Bacteria; Bacillati; Actinomycetota; Actinomycetes; Kitasatosporales; Streptomycetaceae. The record is from RNAcentral.